AACGAACGCUGGCGGCGUGGAUAAGACAUGCAAGUCGAACGCUGAUUUCAAGGUAGCAAUAUUUUGGAGUCGGAGUGGCGCAAGGGUGCGUAACACGUGGGUAAUCUACCGCGAAGACCGGGAUAACUCGCUGAAAGGCGAGCUAAUACCGGAUGUGGUUGCUGGGGGGCAUCUCCCGUCAACUGAAGUUGGGGACCGUAAGGCCUGACACUUCGCGAUGAGCCCGCGGCCUANCAGCUAGUUGGUGAGGUAAUGGCUCACCAAGGCUAAGACGGGUAGCUGGUCUGAGAGGACGACCAGCCUCACUGGAACUGAGACACGGUCCAGACACCUACGGGUGGCAGCAGUCGAGAAUUUUUUCACAAUGGGCGAAAGCCUGAUGGAGCGACGCCGCGUGGGGGAUGAAUGGCUUCGGCCCGUAAACCCCUGUCAUUUGCGAACAAACCCUGCGAUUU
Molecule: ribosomal RNA, 455 nt
Filed under: uncultured bacterium
Lineage: Bacteria
Description: bacterial SSU rRNA
Rfam family: Bacterial small subunit ribosomal RNA
Source: RNAcentral